CUUGCAGGUGUCCACUUCCGAGGGUUCCUGACCCUGCCCCUGGACAACCACCCCUUCUCAGACUCCUCGGCCAGGAUUCUCCAAACCUGCUUCCGCAAUGGGUAAUGAGGAGCUGUGGGUGCAGCCAGCCUUGGAGAUGCCGAAAAGACGGGACAUCCUUGCGAUCGUCCUCAUCGUGCUGCCCUGGACACUGCUCAUCACCGUGUGGCACCAGACCACCCUGGCACCCCUGCUCGCCAUGCACAAGGAUGAGGGCGGUGACCCCAGGCGAGAAGCGCCCGACCCCAGGGAGUACUGUAUGUCUGACCGCGACAUCGUGGAGGUGGUGCGCACGGAGUAUGUGUACACGCGGCCGCCACCCUGGUCCGACACGCUGCCCACCAUCCACGUGGUGACGCCCACCUACAGCCGCCCGGUGCAGAAGGCCGAGCUCACGCGCAUGGCUAACACCUUGCUGCAUGUGCCCAACCUGCACUGGCUGGUGGUGGAGGACGCACCGCGCCGCACCCCACUGACCGCGCGCCUUCUUCGAGACACUGGCCUCAACUACACACACCUGCACGUGGAGACACCCCGCAACUACAAGCUGCGAGGCGACGCCCGUGACCCACGCAUCCCAAGGGGCACCAUGCAGCGCAACCUGGCCCUGCGCUGGCUGAGGGAGACCUUCCCGCGAAACUCCACCCAGCCUGGCGUGGUGUACUUCGCAGAUGACGACAACACCUACAGCCUGGAGCUCUUCGAGGAGAUGCGCAGCACCAGGAGGGUGUCCGUGUGGCCAGUUGCUUUUGUUGGUGGCCUUCGGUACGAGGCCCCGCGGGUGAACGGGGCAGGGAAGGUGGUUGGCUGGAAGACAGUGUUCGACCCCCACCGACCAUUUGCAAUAGACAUGGCUGGAUUCGCCGUCAACCUGCGGCUCAUCCUACAGCGGAGCCAGGCCUACUUCAAGCUGCGCGGCGUGAAGGGAGGUUACCAGGAAAGCAGCCUGCUCCGAGAGCUCGUCACCCUCAAUGACCUGGAGCCCAAGGCAGCCAACUGCACCAAGAUCCUGGUCUGGCACACACGCACAGAGAAGCCAGUGCUGGUGAAUGAGGGCAAGAAGGGCUUCACUGACCCCUCGGUGGAGAUCUGAGCCUCAGGAUGCAGGUGGCAGGUGCCAGAUUGCACCCACAUAGUGAAGUCCUGCCACCAGACACUUGGGAUGGCAUCACCUCGCUCACCAUUUUACUGUACCCUAGCCCACAGCAAGAGACCGCUACUCAGACAUGCACAGCAGGAGCCUGCUCCUCAGACCCUGUUCUCAGCCUCCAUCCUCUCCCCAUGGCUGCUGGGCCUCCACAGCAGAGUCCCGAGGAAGCAUCAUCACCUGCUUGCUAUUCUGGAGGCCUCUCUGGGGCCCAGCUUGUUGCCAGGACAAAGAACAGAGAAUUUAAGCACAGAAAUCCCAGACCUAUUCUCUCCAUCCAACAUGACCCAGGGCCUGAGAGACUGAGGGCUGAGGGAUGCAGCUGCCAGCAGCGCUGGUGCCCAGAACACUCUGGAUUAGGUCCCUGCAUGGACAGGGCCUGGGCACCCACAUGGGGCUGGGAGGAAGGUGAGAAGACCCACAGUCAAGGGGACACAGCCCAUGCUGGCUCCCUGCUUCUGCACGACCACACAGGCUGCCAGGGAGUACAGAAGACAAGAGAGAAGCCCAGGGGCAUCACACAUGCCCCAUGCCCCUCCCCGGCACCUGCUCUUCCUGAGCACUGCUCCCAAAUCAGACAUACCUCUGGCUCUCCUCCGGUCCAUGUUUACAGAGCAUCAGGCUGUCUUUGAACCCAACUGGCACUUAGCCCUGCAUGGGGGAGCCUGGGCCUGCUGGCAACCCCUGUACCUCAGGCUGUGACAGGAGCGGAGCCCCUCCCUUUUGCCCACUUCCCUCAAGCCUUCUCCUCCAGCACUGGCAAGGAGGCAGCCCAGAGCCAGCACAGGUCACCGACUGACCUGCACCCAGAACCACACGACCCCACUGUCCACACACUGCCUCCCACAGCCCUGGGCUGCGAAGCUGCUUGCCUGGCCUGGACCCAGAAAGGGAGAGGCCCACUUCCUCAACACCCUCAGACCUCAGGGCUGGAGGAGCAGUGGUGGGCAGGCAAAAGCUCCUUUGGCCAAAGAGCGGAGGAAGGCUAGGGCAACCCCGAGGUCCUCCUGCCCAGUCUUGGUGUGUGUGUGUGUGUAGGAGGGGAUGGAAGAGGGAUCUAGGGAAAGAGAGCAGACAACCGCUGAGCACUGAGAAGAGACCUGAGCAUACACUGCUUUGGAAAUCAUUCAUUUUUAAAAAUAGGAAAGAAAUCUCACUUCUCUCUAAGUUGGGAACUCGCAGAGCCAGCUCUCCUCUUGUCCUGCUGCCUUCUCCACCCCGAGAGAACAGUGUGCAGUGAGCGGCUGCCCUCCACUGGCGGGCGCUGGACAGGCCCCGGCCUGCAACCCACACAGGCCCUCUGGUGGUGAUCCAGAGCAUUCUCCUGCAGGUUGGAAGCACAAUUUUUCUCCCAAGAGGAGGAAAAGGAAAGGGCCCAAGCCCACUGAAGAGGUGUUUAUUUUUUAACUGCUAAUAGCCCCUUACUCCAUUAAAACUCACAGGACACAUCUGUGGACCACUGAAAACCCAAUCCCAGGUUGGGUGGGACUCAGUGCAGCGACCUAACUUUCAGAGCAUAGCAUUGGCUGCCUGUCUGGAAAUGGACUUCACAUCCCAUGGUGUUCACGAGACCACCUGAUGGGAUCAGGUCCAGAGCCACCUCAUAGGACAUCUUCCCAACCUCGACACUUGGAAACAGAUCCCUGGCAUCAAGUGAGGUGGCAUGGGAGAGGGAGCAGGUGGGCACAGGACAUACACCAGCGAGUGAACUUCCAUCUGGGCACUCUACUGCCUCACUCAUGAAAGCAGCCCUGAAUGCCAAGGUCAGAUGGGCUGGUCUGAGGCAAUCUUCUUAGCCAGAAACCAGGGCUCAUUUUCAGGAAAUUGACAGUGAACAACAAAAUAGGGAAUUUUUUUGGCAGAUGCUAGUUCAGUUGUUUUUUGCCUAAUAUCCUCCCUUAGUGCAUGUAUAUUUAUUUAUAAUUAUAACCCUGGUGGACUGCAGCCUUCUCUUUGUUGGGAAUGAGUUUGUUAUGAAUCAGAACUAGUCCAUGACAGCAACCUGUUCUCCACACCCAGGCUACUCCCUGUUCCCAUUGCUGGCAAGCCGGCCCAAAGCAGUGGGGCCAGGGUUAGGCAUUCCCAGGGCAGAGGCUGGGGUAAGCGUGAGGCCCAGGCAGCUGCACCAUCUGCUCUGUUUUCAUUUAAAUGUAAUUUGUUUUCAAAAUUAAAAGUCAAAUAUGGUUUUUAACAGUCAAAAUCCUCUUUGGCCCUGCCUUAUUUUAUUCUCAUUUAUUGAUUUAGUCAUCUAACAAGUAUUCACAGUGUGCCUACUAUGACCAGGUGUUGUUCUAAAAGCCAGCACACAGCCAUAGGAAAACAAAAUCCUGGUCCUCAUGUAGCUCACCCUCUAUCAAGAGGACUCAGCUGACAAAGGCACAGCAUUUCAAGUGUGAUCUGCUGUAAGGAGAGACCUUGUUGGGGAGUGGAGUGUAGCAGCACUGAGAGUGGCUAAGGUUCCAAGUGGGGCGGUCAGAAAGGUCACCCCAAAGCAGUGAUUUUGAGCAGAGCAGCAACAGCCUGACAUGCAGUUCAUAGGAUCAGAGCAUCCUCCAAAUAGAGCUCUUGUCAGGCAGGAGGGCACUUAGCAUGUUCACAGCUCAUCCAGAAAGCUCCUGCUUCUCCAACUGAUUGGGCAAGGGAAGAGGGUGAGGUGUGGUGGGAGACGAGGAGGCACAUAAGAUGGUGCUGUGGGUAAAGCUGUCAGUUUCUACCUUGUGUAAAACAAGAAGGCAUGGGCGGGUUUAGCACAGGGGACCAACAUGAUCCAACUGGCUUUCUAGAAGAAUGAUUUUGCUCUUCAUGCUGACAGAUGGAGAAAGCAAGGACCAGCAGGAAGGCAGGUCCUGCAAAAACCCAGGUAGAGACCAUGGCAGGCCUUCUGAGGGUGCAAGCUUCAGGACAGAAAGAAGUGGCUGAAUUGCAGGUAUGUUUUAGGGGGAAAGCCAGGAAGGGAAUGGAAGAAGGAUAUAAAGAAAAGAGCCAGAAAUAAUCACAGGCACACAGAAGAGAACUUCCAUUUCUUGACAUGAGACAGAGUACAGGAGGGGCCAUGUGGGGGGAAUCGGAAUUCGGUUUCAGAUGCCUGCUACACAUAUGGAGAUGGUGAGGGGACAGCUUCCCGUGCACCUGGCACGUGAAUGGGGACCAACAUCGAAAGGUACUGGCAUCAGGCUGUUUACAAAGCCACAGGCCUCACCGGUAUGGCCACUGCAGUGAGUAUGGAUAGGAACGAAGCCCUGUGUUAAGUUUCAAUUCCCUGCCACACUUUCCAGCAGAGCUGAGCUUUGCAGAAACCUUGCUGCUAUGUAAUGCACAAUAAAGUGACACUGUGACAUCGUUCCAUGGCUCAGGCUACACCCAAGGGAGUCUGGGAUCAACCACCUCUUAACUCAAUGCCUACCAUUCCAGUGAGCUCAGAAAGAGCUGGUGCAUGAGUGUGGACAAAAUUAGGGGUUGUACCUCUGUCUUUCUCUCCUUCCACUGUCCACAACCUAAACUUUAAUAAGCUUCAUUUCUCUACCCAGCACGGGACCCUUGGGCAGCAGGGGUACCCUCACUUAUGGAUCCUGUGUUUGGGCAUCCUGCCCUCUGCCUGUAGGCUAUGGCUCCUUGCUCCACUCUUCCCAACCCCAUGAAAGCACUGUGCUCAAAACAGGUGCGCUGUUUUGCCUUUGACUAUUACUGAAGAUAAUUAGUUUUAGGUAAUGCAUGCCAAAUGUAGUUUAUGAAGAAAAUACCACUACCCACCACCAUACCUAACUUAGUGUUCUUGAUUGUUUGGUGCAUUUUUAAUCCUGUCCAUCUUCAUGAGAAUGGAUUUGCAUUUGGCCUCUCCUUUCCAGUGACCCUUCCAAUCCAGCAGUAUUUCAAGGAGUGCUAAGAAGCCCGGGGUACAGACUGGCACCAGUUGGGUAGGGUCAGUAUCUAGAUCUUCAAGUACCAGCAGUGAAAUGUGUACCUGACCCUACGAUGCCCUCCCCAAUGGCUUAGAGUGGCACAGAUAAGUCAGACACAUUGGCAAAGAGGGUUUGGUUAAUCUCUAUUGCUUUAUUCAAUUCAGGACAGUGAACCUGAGCUAUCUCAGAGAAAGAGCCUCUAGUCUGGACAAGGAGACAGCUGCACAGGAAGGCUACCUUUCUUCCUGCUGCCUAGUUACAGAAGGCAGGGGACAUACCAAACUGGGGACAAUGCCUGGGCUAGACCUGUGGACCAUCUGGCUACCCCCAACAUUCCCUGGGGGCCACCUGCCCAAUGUCACUUAGCUGGACCUCUGACUUUCUAUCCCUUGAAGUGAGAUGUGGGGUGGACUUUCUGCUACAAUCCACAUUUCCCUUCAAAGUAUACUUCUCAUUGAGUACAACUGGAAAUGCUUUCUAAUUCAGGAGAGUGAGUGGCUAUUUCUGUUUCUCUUAAGUUUAGUGUGUCAUCCUAUCAGACAGACUGCAGGAGUGAAAAAGAGAGAACAUUGUUUCUCAAAUGGAGUGUCUUCCAGAAUCCCAGAGGCAGCUCAGAGAGGGUAGUGAAGAAAAAAAUAAAGUUGACUCAGAUGAGACUGCCCCCUUCCCUAUCCUCUACAACCAGUGACAAACCCACAACUUCAGGGACAGAAAGGGGCCAUGUGGGGUACAGCCCUGGACAUUUGAGAGCACACCUGUGUUCAGCAGACUGACCAGCAGGGCUUUUACUCCAGAGUGGGAGAGGCCCCCAGCUUCAGCACCUUGUCUGGGGACCCAGCAUUCAUCACUGGUAUCUGACUAAACAUUCCCACAUCUCAGAGACAUCCCUGAGGCCUAUCCCAUGAGGGCAAGGAGGUGGGAAAGUACCAGCCACAAAGCCAGGCCAAGGAGCCAUCUAGAGGCAAGGGGUCCCCCAUGCCUUCCACCUUGCUCUCCAGGACCCCCAGGUGGAGGGUUCAGACCAAGGGUAGACUGUGGCCCUCAGGUCCCUGAGAAUGCUACUUAAGGAGACUCCUACAGGGAGGUGAAGAUAGCAAGUCCAAGAAGGAGGCACGGGGCUGCUGCUCAGUGAAUGUACUGGUUCCUGCCCAGGUGGGGGA
This is an RNA transcript of Fukomys damarensis (Damara mole-rat), 6245 nucleotides long. It is a transcript of the gene named beta-1,3-glucuronyltransferase 1, with no coding region annotated. Lineage: Eukaryota; Metazoa; Chordata; Mammalia; Rodentia; Bathyergidae. The transcript is spliced from 7 exons. The record is from RefSeq and is a predicted model, not a curated record.